UGAGGAAUAUUGGUCAAUGGGCGAGAGCCUGAACCAGCCAAGUAGCGUGCAGGAUGACGGCCCUAUGGGUUGUAAACUGCUUUUAUAUGGGAAUAAAGUGAGGGACGUGUCCCUUAUUGCAUGUACCAUAUGAAUAAGGACCGGCUAAUUACGUGCCAGCAGCCGCGGUAAUACGUAAGGUCCGAGCGUUGUCCGGAAUCAUUGGGCGUAAAGGGUACGUAGGCGGAUAAGCAAGUUAGAAGUGAAAUCCUAUAGCUCAACUAUAGUAAGCUUUUAAAACUGCUCAUCUUGAGGUAUGGAAGGGAAAGUGGAAUUCCUAGUGUAGCGGUGAAAUGCGCAGAUAUUAGGAGGAAUACCGGUGGCGAAGGCGACUUUCUGGCCAUAUACUGACGCUGAGGUACGAAAGCGUGGGUAGCAAACAGG
RNAcentral lists this ribosomal RNA (423 nucleotides) under Verrucomicrobiota bacterium. Its description in RNAcentral is "Verrucomicrobia bacterium partial 16S ribosomal RNA". It matches the Rfam family "Bacterial small subunit ribosomal RNA", at positions 355 to 776 of the family's 1533-position model. Lineage: Bacteria; Pseudomonadati; Verrucomicrobiota. The record is from RNAcentral.